GAUGAACGCUGGCGGCGUGCCUAACACAUGCAAGUCGAACGAAGCUUGACGGAUGAUUUCUUCGGAAUGAAACCAGAUAUGACUUAGUGGCGGACGGGUGAGUAACACGUGAGCAACCUGCCUUUCAGAGGGGGAUAACGGCUGGAAACGGUCGCUUAUACCGCAUGAUGUGUUCGGAUGGCAUCAUCUGAACAUUAACGAUUUAUCGCUGAAAGAUGGGCUCUCGUCUGAUUAGAUAGUUGGUGGGGUAACGGCCUACCAAGUCUACGAUCAGUAGCCGGACUGAGAGGAGGAACGGCCACAUUGGGACUGAGAUACGGCCCAGACUCCUACGGGAGGAAGCAGUGGGGAAUAUUGCACAAUGGGGGAAAGCCUGAUGCAGCAACGCCGCGUGAAGGAUGACGGUUUUCGGAUUGUAAACUUCUUUUCUUAGUGACGAAGACAGUGACGGUAGCUAAGGAAUAAGCAUCGGCUAACUACGUG
Molecule: ribosomal RNA, 483 nt
Filed under: uncultured bacterium
Lineage: Bacteria
Description: partial 16S ribosomal RNA
Rfam family: Bacterial small subunit ribosomal RNA
Source: RNAcentral